GAUGUGUGAUGAGAAACUGGAGCUGACAAUCCCAUGGAGGGUCCGUCCAAUCCAACUCUGAACAUU
Molecule: small nucleolar RNA, 66 nt
Organism: Pseudophryne corroboree (corroboree frog)
Lineage: Eukaryota; Metazoa; Chordata; Amphibia; Anura; Myobatrachidae
Product: small nucleolar RNA SNORD69
Exons: 1
Source: RefSeq, a predicted model, not a curated record